Molecule: ribosomal RNA, 270 nt
Filed under: uncultured archaeon
Lineage: Archaea
Description: partial 16S ribosomal RNA
Rfam family: Archaeal small subunit ribosomal RNA
Source: RNAcentral
CAGCACCUCAAGUGGUCAGGAUGAUUAUUGGGCCUAAAGCAUCCGUAGCCGGCGCUGUAAGUUUUCGGUUAAAUCUGUACGCUCAACGUACAGGCUGCCGGGAAUACUGCAGCGCUAGGGAGUGGGAGAGGUAGACGGUACUCGGUAGGAAGGGGUAAAAUCCUUUGAUCUAUUGAUGACCACCUGUGGCGAAGGCGGUCUACCAGAACACGUCCGACGGUGAGGGAUGAAAGCUGGGGGAGCAAACCGGAUUAGAGACCCGAGUAGUCC